This 193-nucleotide ribosomal RNA is filed under the name uncultured Geobacter sp. Its description in RNAcentral is "partial 16S ribosomal RNA". It matches the Rfam family "Bacterial small subunit ribosomal RNA", at positions 338 to 524 of the family's 1533-position model. Lineage: Bacteria; Pseudomonadati; Thermodesulfobacteriota; Desulfuromonadia; Geobacterales; Geobacteraceae. The record is from RNAcentral.
CCUACGGGAGGCAGCAGUGGGGAAUUUUGCGCAAUGGGGAAACCCUGACGCAGCAACGCCGCGUGAGUGAUGAAGGCUUUCGGGUCGUAAAGCUCUGUCAGAGGGGAAGAAAUGGGACGUGCUAAUACCACGUUUUCUUGACGGUACCCUCAAAGGAAGCACCGGCUAACUCCGUGCCAGCAGCCGCGGUAAU